AGGUGUAGAUCCAAAAGAAAAGGAAAUGGUACACUGUUUCUCCUACUUUGUACACUGAUCUCAUCUUAGAUCGGUAGAUUCUACACCUUCUGGUCUAUUAUUAAAGCCUGCCUUGUAUCAAAUUUCAUUCUGGCUCACAUUAUUUUAUCCUUCUCUCAUCACACCAAGCUGUUUAGGAUCGGCAUUCGUGUAUCCACAUGUUUAUUGACCAUUUAGUUUGAACUGUCAUGAAGAAUGACCGUAGCUAAAUAUGUGACGUGUUGUUUAAAAGAUAAUGUGAAAGCUUACAUGUCAAGCCACUCAUAGCUGGCUCCAUGGAGACUGGACAGGCAUAAAAUGCCAUGUGAGCUAUCCCAUCAGUUUGUAGGCUAACUUUCUAGAAGUCUAGAAGUUUCGGUACAUUCAGUGUUUCUCCUAUCAUACAUAAUAUUGGGCCUUAUAGAAUAGCUGCCCUAUGGUUAGGUCAUUUUCAAUCUCUUAUGUAAUUCGAGCGCGCAAAUGACUUAUCUUACAUUCUUGAUGUGGCAGGCUUUAGAUGCACCUUGGCCAAUAAUUCAGGCAAAUGCUAUAUACUUCUCCAGCUGUAUGCUAUCUCUGUCUGAUGAUCAGCACAUUUUGACUCUCUAUUAUCCACAGGUAUUUGGACCAUUAGUAGGAAAAUUGAGCAAGUCAGCAGAUGCAAGCGUGAGAGCAACGUGCUCUUCUGCCCUUGGUUUGCUGUUAAAAUCCUCAAAGUCAAUAUCAUGGAAAGCAGCUCGAGCGGAUCACUUGGAGUAACUUGAAAUGGUUGUCUUCAUCCGUAUACCUGAAAACAAGUCCCAGUCAGAUUCUCAUUGGCCUCAAAUUCAUGGGUUCGUAAAGCAAUGUAUGUUGGAAGUGGAAAUCAUGAUAUUCGUUUCGCAAGAUGCAAAAUGAAGCACUUUAAUUAGGUAAAUUUUGAGGUGCAUAUAGGGGCUAUCAGUGCCUGUAAUGACUGGGUGUGUAUAUUUGUCAAUUGUUGUAAAUUAUGUCAUUUGUAACUUUGUCAUCCCACGGUGUGCCUUGGGUCAUUUGUGUAUUCUGUUGUAGAUGUAACAACUUCGUUGUAAUGAUUUGUAUCAUAACCUUUUGCCAAUUUACCCAGAAAAACGUGAGAUGUUGUAAAUUCGCAAAUGAAUAACAUCUGAUCAUAAGAUACAAUAAAUCUUUCAGCUUGCUUGGUUAAUCAUACCAUCAAUCUCUUCUCCAAACAAUC
Molecule: long non-coding RNA, 1234 nt
Organism: Rosa rugosa (rugosa rose)
Lineage: Eukaryota; Viridiplantae; Streptophyta; Magnoliopsida; Rosales; Rosaceae
Exons: 2
Source: RefSeq, a predicted model, not a curated record